AUUGAACGCUGGCGGCAGGCCUAACACAUGCAAGUCGGGCGAGUGGCGGACGGGUGAGUAAUGUAUGGGGAUCUGCCUGAUGGAGGGGGAUAACUACUGGAAACGGUAGCUAAUACCGCAUAACAUCAGAUGAACCCAUAUGGGAUUAGCUGGUAGGUAAGGUAACGGCUCACCAAGCCGACGAUCUCUCGCUGGUCUGAGAGGAUGACCAGCCACACUGGGACUUAUACACGGCCCAGACUCCGACGGGAGGCAGAAGUGGGGAAUAUUGCGCAAUGGGGGCAACCCUGACGCAGCCAUGCCGCGUGAAUGAAGAAGGCCGUCGGGUUGUAAAGUUCUUUCGGUAGCGAGGCGUUAACUACAGAAGAAGCACCGGCUAACUCCGUGCCAGCAGCCGCGGUAAUUC
RNAcentral lists this ribosomal RNA (406 nucleotides) under uncultured bacterium. Its description in RNAcentral is "partial 16S ribosomal RNA". It matches the Rfam family "Bacterial small subunit ribosomal RNA", at positions 30 to 526 of the family's 1533-position model. The record is from RNAcentral.